UACGUAGAAGGCUAACGUUAUCCGGAUUUACUGGGCGUAAAGCGGGUGUAGACGGUUUUCUAAGUCAGUUGUGAAAUCUCCUGACUCAAUCGGGAGGCUGCAAUUGAUACUGGAGAGCUUGAGGGCAUCAGAAGAAAGCGGAAGUCCCGGUGUAGCGGUGAAAUGCGUAGAUAUCGGGAGGAACACCAGUGGCGAAGGCGGCUUUCUAGGGUGCUCCUGACGUUGAGGCCCGAAAGUGUGGGGAGCGAAACGG
Molecule: ribosomal RNA, 253 nt
Filed under: uncultured bacterium
Lineage: Bacteria
Description: partial 16S ribosomal RNA
Rfam family: Bacterial small subunit ribosomal RNA
Source: RNAcentral